RNAcentral lists this long non-coding RNA (631 nucleotides) under Sorghum bicolor (sorghum). RNAcentral's name for it is "long non-coding RNA (SBIC_LNC017940)". The record is from RNAcentral. Lineage: Eukaryota; Viridiplantae; Streptophyta; Magnoliopsida; Poales; Poaceae.
CAUCAUGAUUCUAGAUUUUGAUUUUCAAAUUUCAAUAGUAUUAGUUGCAAUAAUUUUGUAUACUUAAGUAAACUUGAAACUACUGUACUUAUUAUAUCUUUAGUUAAUUCUACUUUUGAAUUUUAUGAAAGAGUUAUGUCUCUUGUACUCUGGUAGACAAAGAGUUUAGCUCCUUUUCCCACUAGCUCAAAGAUUUUUGACAUCUUUCUCAUUCAUGUGAUAUCUAAUAUUAGUUUAGAACCGCAAGUACGCUAAAAGAAAAAAAAAGAGAAAACUAUCUAUUAAGCAUUGAAACAAAUCAGUCUUUCUUCUAUAGCACUUGAAAUUUUGAACUUUCUAAUGUGGCAUCGAGUUAAAAUUUUCUUCUCUAGAUGCCACUACCAUCCAUUUAGUCGAUCCAUCUGUUACUUUACUGUAUUGACCAUAAGCGGAGCUAUGUGUAGGCUAAAGUGGGCUAUGCCCCCCCCUGCCUAUGCAAAAUUUGUACAUGUAUCUCACCGCAAUGCACAACAUUAGGAUAUGAAGCACUAGUAAUUGCAUUCAUUAUACAGAUAUGGUGUUCCAACAACUUUUUUUCUUGCAUCUACUACUCCUAUGCUGCAUGUUUUUUUGUCGUUUUUCUUGGUUGGGA